GGGUAGUGGUAGGGUGUUGUCAGGGGCUAGGUGAGAGUAGGGGGUAGAGGUAGGGUGUGGUCAGGGGCUAGGUGAGAGUAGGGCGUAACGGUAGGGUGUAGUCAGGGGCUAGGUAAUAGCAGGGGUAGCGGUAGGGUGUAGUCAUGGGCUAGGUGAGUAGGGGUUGGUGGUAGGGUGUUGUCAGGGGCUAGGUGAGUAGGGGGUAACGGUAGGGCGUGGUCAGGGGCUAGGUGAGUAGGGGGUAGAAGUAGGGUGUGGUCAGGGGCUAGGUGAGAGCAGGGGGUAGUGGUAGGGUGUGGUCAGGGGCUAGGUGAGAGCAGGGGGUAGUGGUAGGGUGUAGUCAGGGGCUAGGUGAGAGCAGGGGUAGUGGUAGGGUGUGGUCAGGGGCUAGGUGAGAGCAGAGGGUAGUGGUAGGGUAUAGUCAGGGGCUAGGUGAGUAGGGGGUCGUGGCAGGGUGUAAUCAGGGGCUAGGUGAGUAGGGGGUAGUGGUAGGGUGUAGUCAGGGGCUAGGUGAGAGCAGGGGUCAGUGGUAGGGUGUGGUCAAGUGCUAGGUGAGAGCAGGGGGUAGUGGUAGGGUAUAGUCAGGGGC
Long non-coding RNA from Oncorhynchus tshawytscha (Chinook salmon), 589 nucleotides. The record is from Ensembl. NCBI's taxonomy places the organism in Eukaryota, Metazoa, Chordata, Actinopteri, Salmoniformes, Salmonidae.